UACCACUUCACACCACCAGGUGGCUUUAAUCAAAAAGAUAAGCGUUGCCAAGGAUGUGGAGAAAUUGGGACACUCAUACAGCGUCUGCAGAAAUGUAAAAUGGCGCAGCCGCUUUGGAAAACAGUCUGGCAGUUUCUCAAAAGGUUGAACGUAGAAUUACCGAGUGACCCAGCAAUUCCACCCCUAAGUAAUGAGAUAGAAAGAGAAAGGAAGACAUGUUCACACACAGACUUAUACACGAAUGUUCAUAACAGCAUCAUUCAUAAUAGGCAGAGUGUGGAAACAAACAAAUGUCUCUCCACUGGUGAACGGACACAUCCAUGUGGUGUGUCUGUCCUUACGGCGAAACAUUAUUUAGCAGUCAAGAGGAAUGAAGUACUGAUUCAGUUAUAACAUGAAUGAACUCGAAACUUUACGCUGUGUGAAGAAAGCCAGACAGAAAAGGCCACAUAUGCCGUGAUUCCAUUUUUUUUUUCAUGGCACGCCCAGAAUAGGCAAAUCUAUAGAGACAGAAAGCAGAUCAACGGUUGUCUAGGGUUGGGGGGUGGCAAGGAGGAAAUGAAGAAUGACUGCUGAUGGAUGUGGGGUUUCUUUUUGAUCGACAAAAAUGCUCCAAAAUUGAUGGUGGCGAUGGUUAUACAACUCUGCCAGCACACUAAAAACCCGUGAAUUGUGCACUUGGAACGAGGUGUCUGUGUGUGAAUUACAUCUCCAUAAAGCUGUUAUAAAGACCAUUUGGAGGGUGACUGGCAUGUGAUCUUCAUGGCGUAAGCGUUAGCUCUGAUGAUGAUGGGGGCAGUGGGGUGGUGGUGGUUGCCCGUAACUGUUGGAAACACGCAGCGUGUCUUACUGUGAAGCAUUCUGUUGUAUAGGAUCUCCUCUAUCGAAGAUCUAGGUCACUAGUGGAUUAUGAAAAUGCUAACAAAGCACUGGAUAAAGCAAGAGCGAAAAAUAAAGAUGUUCUUCAGGCUGAGACAUCCCAACAAUUAUGUUGUCAGAAAUUUGAAAAAAUAUCUGAAUCUGCAAAACAAGAACUUAUAGAUUUUAAGACGAGAAGAGUUGCCGCAUUCAGAAAAAAUUUAGUGGAACUGGCAGAGUUAGAACUGAAGCAUGCAAAGGGUAACCUACAGUUGCUGCAGAACUGCUUGGCAGUGUUAAAUGGAGACACAUAAGCCACACUCCGCCUUUGGUUAAAAAGGGCUGCCUUCCUUCAGAUUUUAUUUUUGUUUUCUUAAUGAGAUUAGGCAUUUACUGCUCACUGGAAACAAAAGAAACAGCUGACCAAGUGCAUCUACUCUCCUUUUUUUCUGAGAAGCGAUGGAGCGGUGCCGUCCACGGGUUUUGCGGGUCCGUCCGUCCGUCUGUGUGGUGGAACGCUGCCCUCCUGCAGCUCCCCGUGUGCUCCCUGGGACGGUUGUCCAUCACCGUGCGCUCCUCCUCUUCCGAAGCCCAGCGUUCAGUCCUUUUUUAAGUAGCCUCUGUAACGGUCUUUAUUUUCUGAAUAGCGUUCCUUAUGGCUGCCAAUCUUAUUUCCCUUUAAGUAAUUUCUGAUGUUUAACCCUUUCAAAGAUGCAUUGUUCAGACAAGAUAAAGGUUGCCAUUACCUUGUGUUUUCUUUUGGUGUUUUUGUUAUGUUUUGUUUUGUUUUGUUUUUUUAAAAACAUUGUAUGCCACCUUAGUUCAUCCAUGUAUCCUGGUAAAAGCAUCUUAAUCAGACUUAUUUUUAAUUAAUGAACAUUUCUUAGAAGUUUUGGGACAGACUUUAUGUAAUCUUUGUAAGUAUGAUUUCUGAUGAAAAGCGACUGCAUUAGUAUGUUUGCCUUAAACUUGUAGACUAAACCGACUAUUGUCAAAUAAACCGUGGUAACAGUGAUAGUUUUUAACUCUGUGGUCAUUGUAUCACUCUAAAAUUUGGAGUAGCUAUAAUCAAUCUACUCCUUCGUUAUGCUUUACAGUGCAGGUCUUCUGUCUUUUUUCUCUGAAAAUGGCAUGUUGAACCAGGUUCACCAAUCCCCUUACGAAAGAAUGAACUGCUUCUCUGUGUGCUCUCAGCCUUUCCUAGAAGAUGGAAUUGGGCAGAGGCAGGUUCGAAACAGCUGUUUCUAAAAUACAGGAGGCAGACAGAAUGGUCCGUCUGUGAUGGUUUCCUGAAUUCCAUCCCUAGCCGGGCCAGUUAACCCUGAGACACGCCAUCGAGCCACUUGAUAGUUCUACUAGUGUACGGAUUGGUAUGGAGAGAGAAAGAGUGCUGUAAGGAACAGCCCUCGUGGGGGGGGGGGGGGGGGGGGGGGGUGGAGAUUGGAAUAUUUGGAAUGGAAGGCUCCAAAAAGGGUACUAGUUACAAUACAAAUACGAUUGGCCUUUUUAAUGUGAAUUAUCGCCACGUCAUUUCUAAUUUAAAAUUCGAUUGUGUGGUUUGGUUUUUUUCACUGUCUAACUUUUCUUCCAGUUGGAAACCACAGGUAUUUGGGUUGGUCACCUUGUAGGUGGGUUCCUCGUUUACAUUUUCCCCACCCCUGGUCUAGGUCUUCUGCGUAGUCACCAUGAUCCCAGCCUUGCUCUCCGGCAUGUUCUCUUGCCUUACUGGUGUGCUGGUUCACGUUUCUCUCUUUCACUGGCGUUGUUCCCUGGUUAUUCCCUGAUGUCGUUUGUACUACCCCCCCCCCCCCCCCCCCCCCCCGUUUGCUUGAGAAAUCUGUGUCUUUGGUCUUCCUGUCUGUCCCCUUCACUGGUGAGAAGACGCCCACGCGAUGCUCACCAGUGGAUAAACGGGACAGAGAGCCCUGGCUUCGGGACUCGGGUGCAGUCCCUUCGCCGUCUGCCCUCGUGGCCUAGGCAGGUUUGGUUCGCUUGACCUCUGUCUGCCUCAGUUUCUCUACUACAAAGGACAUACUGACCUACCUACCUCACAGGGGUGUUGUGAGGAUAAAUAAACAUUGGUACAGUGCUUUGAAAACGUGA
Prionailurus viverrinus (fishing cat) is the source of this 2961-nucleotide long non-coding RNA. RefSeq lists it as uncharacterized. The transcript is spliced from 3 exons. The record is from RefSeq and is a predicted model, not a curated record. NCBI's taxonomy places the organism in Eukaryota, Metazoa, Chordata, Mammalia, Carnivora, Felidae.